Molecule: long non-coding RNA, 441 nt
Filed under: Elaeis guineensis (African oil palm)
Lineage: Eukaryota; Viridiplantae; Streptophyta; Magnoliopsida; Arecales; Arecaceae
Description: long non-coding RNA (EGUI_LNC074988)
Source: RNAcentral
UGGUGUGUUGGCUAUUCACAGCAAGGCUAGUUAGUUUGACUUCACGUUCCCUUGAUCUUUAGCCAUUCAGAUCCUUGCUGUGUAUGCUGGCUAUUGUAGAUUCAAAUUUGCUGUUUGGAAUAGGAUACACCUAAAUAGAAUCUAUCGACCUUGGUAGAAAAGGAGAAGUCCUAUGUGAUUUGCAAGACUGAGUUCAGAAAAUCUUUGGCCAGAGUAAGUGUGAAUACUGAAAAAAAAAUUAUUGGAUUCACAGAUGAAGUUGAGUCGAGCCAAUCUGGCAUAUGACUGAUGAUGGGAUUUGACGAGUUCUUUAUGACCUCCAUCUAGUCGGGACUCACGAUAGAGGGAUUGUAUCACAUGAUAACUGCACCUAGGAGUUCAUCUUUUUUUUGUUGGAUUACCAUUAUAUGCUACUAGACAUCAUCGAUGGAUUGUGAGAAC